Long non-coding RNA from Haliotis rubra (blacklip abalone), 793 nucleotides. RefSeq lists it as uncharacterized. Lineage: Eukaryota; Metazoa; Mollusca; Gastropoda; Lepetellida; Haliotidae. The record is from RefSeq and is a predicted model, not a curated record. The transcript is spliced from 2 exons.
UUUUAGAAAUAUGGCUGCCAUCUUGGUCCAAGGUUCUGAAGCCAUGCUGCUUUAUGGCACACACAAUUUCGGGCUUCGUGCAGUCUCGAUCAUAGAUAAAAACUGUUUCCUGCAAGUGGCCGGGGGACAUCCGGGUCUUUGGCGUGACAAGCGAAAGCUUUAACCACUAGACUACCACAUCGCCCCCACAGAACACUGAACAUUCUCCAUUAUCCAACGACACAAUUUACUUUUUGGCCUAAAAACAAUAUAGCAGUGACAAUUAUUAUUGAUAUACCUCUUUUAAGAAACCUGAAUGUCAAUGUCUAAUUAGAAGCGAAACAAUACAUUUCAAAGAAGACUCCAGAUCACGGAACUGACACUGACCCCGACUAUUGCAUCGUCUGCUGAUCAGUUUUGACCUGUCACGUGACGAAUAUUGACUCGUCUGCAGAACAAGAUGGCGUCUGGUUAAUAACAUUUCACGGUUUGCAGGGUACUGUAAUAAAGCAGGAGGUGGUUAAAGGCUUCACGAACAUUAAAGUGACUUUCGCUAUAGAAAACGAUUAAUUAUCCCAGCCUAAUUGUUUGUAUAGGAAUGGAUCACUGAAAUUCAGCAAUAACUUUAGGUGUUCGCGAGAAGGAAACUUUUAAUUUUCUAUAAAAAAGCUGAGUGUCUGGGUUUGGAUUCUUCUGCUGGAGAAAAUCAGUAUUUCUGUCAUACUUGAGUCUUGAUCUGACAAUCAGGUGAUGAACCAGAUCAACAAGUGAUAGCGCAUUUACUUUUAAAAAAUUAAACAAAAGGCAUCACUGA